AGGAGUGGUAGAGGAGCAUUGUUAGCGCAGCGAAGCUGUACCGAUAAGGAGCAGUGGAGUGCUAAGAAGAGAGAAUGCCGGAAUGAGUAGCGAGAGGAAGGUGAGAAUCCUUCCGGCCGAAUAUCCAAGGUUUCCAGAGUAAAGCUGAUCUGCUCUGGGUAAGUCGGGGCCUAAGGCGAGGUCGAAAGACGUAGUCGAUGGAUAACAGGUGGAGAUUCCUGUACUAUGUGUACCCAGAACUGUGGGGACGCAUGUGGAGAGCAUGAGCCGGGAAAGAGAAAACCGGUACAAGCGGGGUAGGAGUAAGGACAGCAAAUCUUCCUUACAAUCCGAAGACGUAAUGUGGACCGAACCAAAGUAGGGAAGCGUGUGAGCCAUGUGCCAAGAAAAGCCGCUAUAGUGAUACACAUACCCGUACCGUAAACCGACACAGGUGGAUGAGGAGAGAAUCCUAAGGCCGACGGAAGAAGCAUUGUUAAGGAACUCGGCAAAAUGACCCCGUAACUUCGGGAGAAGGGGUGCCCUGUGAAAGCAGGGCCGCAGAGAAUAGGCUCAAGCAACUGUUUAGCAAAAACACAGGUCUAUGCGAAACCGAAAGGUGAGGUAUAUGGGCUGACGCCUGCCCGGUGCUGGAAGGUUAAGAGGAGAAGUCAGGCAACGAAGCUUCGAAUUUAAGCCCCAGUAAACGGCGGCCGUAACUAUAACGGUCCUAAGGUAGCGAAAUUCCUUGUCGGGUAAGUUCCGACCCGCACGAAAGGCGUAAUGAUUUGAGCACUGUCUCGACAAUGCAUCCGGUGAAAUUGAAGUACCAGUGAAGAUGCUGGUUACCUGCGCCAGGACGGAAAGACCCCAUGGAGCUUUACUCCAGCUUGAUACUGGGAUUCGAUACUGUAUGUACAGGAUAGGUGGGAGACGUUGAGCAUAGAACGCCAGUUUUAUGUGAGUCGCUGUUGGGAUACCACCCUUGCAGUAUUGGAUUUCUAACCUGCACCCAUGACCUGGGUGGGGGACAAUGUCUGGCGGGGAGUUUGACUGGGGCGGUCGCCUCCGAAAGGGUAUCGGAGGCGCUCAAAGGUUCCCUCAGAAUGGUUGGAAACCAUUCGAAGAGUGCAAAGGCAGAAGGGAGCUUGACUGUGACACCGACGGGUGGAACAGGUACGAAAGUAGGACUUAGUGAUCCGGUGGUAUAAAGUGGGAUUGCCAUCGCUCAACGGAUAAAAGCUACCCUGGGGAUAACAGGCUUAUCACUCCCAAGAGUUCACAUCGACGGAGUGGUUUGGCACCUCGAUGUCGGCUCAUCGCAUCCUGGGGCUGUAGCAGGUCCCAAGGGUUGGGCUGUUCGCCCAUUAAAGCGGUACGCGAGCUGGGUUCAGAACGUCGUGAGACAGUUCGGUCCCUAUCCGGCGCAGGCGGAGGAUAUUUGAGAGGAGCUGUCCUUAGUACGAGAGGACCGGGAUGGACGGACCACUGGUGUAUCUGUUGGCUAUCGGAGCCAUGGCAGAGUAGCCAAGUCCGGCAGGGAUAAACGCUGAAGGCAUCUAAGCGUGAAGCCCCCCUCAAGAUGAGAUAUCCCUCAGAAAUGAGUAAGACCCCUUGAAGACUACGAGGUAGAUAGGAAUGAGGUGUAAGCACAGCAAUGUGUUCAGCUGACAUUUACUAAUCGGUCGAGGGCUUGACCAA
This 1680-nucleotide ribosomal RNA is filed under the name gut metagenome. Its description in RNAcentral is "bacterial LSU rRNA". It matches the Rfam family "Bacterial large subunit ribosomal RNA", at positions 1221 to 2925 of the family's 2925-position model. The record is from RNAcentral.